Long non-coding RNA from Haliotis rubra (blacklip abalone), 112 nucleotides. RefSeq lists it as uncharacterized. The transcript is spliced from 4 exons. The record is from RefSeq and is a predicted model, not a curated record. NCBI's taxonomy places the organism in Eukaryota, Metazoa, Mollusca, Gastropoda, Lepetellida, Haliotidae.
AGGCUGCUAUAUACUGUCAGUAUGCACGUGCAUUUCGUGUUACAUCAGAAAAAGUCGUUUCUGAUUUUUUGCGACGUUUAGGCGAUUCGUUAAUUUGUUUCGCCAUUUGUUA